RNAcentral lists this ribosomal RNA (468 nucleotides) under uncultured bacterium. RNAcentral's name for it is "partial 16S ribosomal RNA". It matches the Rfam family "Bacterial small subunit ribosomal RNA", at positions 28 to 507 of the family's 1533-position model. The record is from RNAcentral.
GACGAACGCUGGCGGCGUGCUUAACACAUGCAAGUCGAACGGAAAGGCCCUGCUUUUGUGGGGUGCUCGAGUGGCGAACGGGUGAGUAACACGUGAGUAACCUGCCCUUGACUUUGGGAUAACUUCAGGAAACUGGGGCUAAUACCGGAUAGGAGCUCCUGCUGCAUGGUGGGGGUUGGAAAGUUUCGGCGGUUGGGGAUGGACUCGCGGCUUAUCAGCUUGUUGGUGGGGGAGUGGCUUACCAAGGCUUUGACGGGUAGCCGGCCUGAGAGGGUGACCGGCCACAUGGGGACUGAGAUACGGCCCAGACUCCUACGGGAGGCAGCAGUGGGGAAUAUUGCACAAUGGGCGGAAGCCUGAUGCAGCAACGCCGCGUGCGGGAUGACGGCCUUCGGGUUGUAAACCGCUUUCGCCUGUGACGAAGCGUGAGUGACGGUAAUGGGUAAAGAAGCACCGGCUAACUACGUG